RNAcentral lists this ribosomal RNA (253 nucleotides) under uncultured bacterium. Its description in RNAcentral is "partial 16S ribosomal RNA". It matches the Rfam family "Bacterial small subunit ribosomal RNA", at positions 524 to 776 of the family's 1533-position model. The record is from RNAcentral.
UACAGAGGGGGCAAGCGUUGUUCGGAAUUACUGGGCGUAAAGCGCACGUAGGCGGCUUUGUAAGUUAGAGGUGAAAGCCCGGGGCUCAACUCCGGAACUGCCUUUAAGACUGCAUCGCUUGAAUCCAGGAGAGGUGAGUGGAAUUCCUAGUGUAGAGGUGAAAUUCGUAGAUAUUAGGAAGAACACCAGUGGCGAAGGCGGCUCACUGGUCCGGUACUGACGCUGAGGUGCGAAAGCGUGGGGAGCAAACAGG